AACGGGUGAGUAAUACAUCGGAACAUGUCCUGUAGUGGGGGAUAGCCCGGCGAAAGCCGGAUUAAUACCGCAUACGAUCUACGGAUGAAAGCGGGGGACCUUCGGGCCUCGCGCUAUAGGGUUGGCCGAUGGCUGAUUAGCUAGUUGGUGGGGUAAAGGCCUACCAAGGCGACGAUCAGUAGCUGGUCUGAGAGGACGACCAGCCACACUGGGACUGAGACACGGCCCAGACUCCUACGGGAGGCAGCAGUGGGGAAUUUUGGACAAUGGGCGAAAGCCUGAUCCAGCAAUGCCGCGUGUGUGAAGAAGGCCUUCGGGUUGUAAAGCACUUUUGUCCGGAAAGAAAUCCUUGGUUCUAAUAUAGCCGGGGGAUGACGGUACCGGAAGAAUAAGCACCGGCUAACUACGUGCCAGCAGCCGCGGUAAUACGUAGGGUGCGAGCGUUAAUCGGAAUUACUGGGCGUAAAGCGUGCGCAGGCGGUUUGCUAAGACCGAUGUGAAAUCCCCGGGCUCAACCUGGGAACUGCAUUGGUGACUGGCAGGCUAGAGUAUGGCAGAGGGGGGUAGAAUUCCACGUGUAGCAGUGAAAUGCGUAGAGAUGUGGAGGACAUACCGAUGGCGAAGGCAGCCCCCUGGGCCAAUA
This 643-nucleotide ribosomal RNA is filed under the name uncultured beta proteobacterium. Its description in RNAcentral is "bacterial SSU rRNA". It matches the Rfam family "Bacterial small subunit ribosomal RNA", at positions 101 to 739 of the family's 1533-position model. The record is from RNAcentral. Lineage: Bacteria; Pseudomonadati; Pseudomonadota; Betaproteobacteria.